ACAGCAGUAGCCGCGGGAACACGGAGGGAGCUAGCGUUAUUCGGAAUUACUGGGCGUAAAGCGCACGUAGGCGGCUUUGUAAGUUAGAGGUGAAAGCCUGGAGCUCAACUCCAGAAUUGCCUUUAAGACUGCAUCGCUUGAAUCCAGGAGAGGUGAGUGGAAUUCCGAGUGUAGAGGCGAAAUUCGUAGAUAUUCGGAAGAACACCAGUGGCGAAGGCGGCUCACUGGACUGGUAUUGACGCUGAGGUGCGAAAGCGUGGGGAGCAAACAGGAUUAGAUACCCCGGUAGUCCCUGUCUCUUAUAC
This 305-nucleotide ribosomal RNA is filed under the name uncultured bacterium. RNAcentral describes it as "partial 16S ribosomal RNA". It matches the Rfam family "Bacterial small subunit ribosomal RNA", at positions 508 to 807 of the family's 1533-position model. The record is from RNAcentral.